RNAcentral lists this ribosomal RNA (165 nucleotides) under uncultured bacterium. RNAcentral describes it as "partial 16S ribosomal RNA". It matches the Rfam family "Bacterial small subunit ribosomal RNA", at positions 355 to 511 of the family's 1533-position model. The record is from RNAcentral.
UAGGGAAUCUUCGGCAAUGGACGAAAGUCUGACCGAGCAACGCCGCGUGAGUGAAGAAGGUUUUCGGAUCGUAAAACUCUGUUGGUAGAGAAGAACGUUGGUGAGAGUGGAAAGCUCAUCAAGUGACGGUAACUACCCAGAAAGGGACGGCUAACUACGUGACAG